RNAcentral lists this transfer RNA (74 nucleotides) under Tumebacillus permanentifrigoris. Its description in RNAcentral is "tRNA-Met". It matches the Rfam family "tRNA". Rfam says of the family: Transfer RNA (tRNA) molecules are approximately 80 nucleotides in length. Lineage: Bacteria; Bacillati; Bacillota; Bacilli; Caryophanales; Alicyclobacillaceae. The record is from RNAcentral.
GGGCCUAUAGCUCAGAAGAGUAGAGCCGCCAGCUCAUAACCGGUUGGUCGCAGGUUCGAGUCCGGCUGGGCCCA